Molecule: ribosomal RNA, 805 nt
Filed under: uncultured bacterium
Lineage: Bacteria
Description: bacterial SSU rRNA
Rfam family: Bacterial small subunit ribosomal RNA
Source: RNAcentral
AGAGUUUGAUCCUGGCUCAGGAUGAACGCUGGCGGCGUGCCUAACACAUGCAAGUCGAACGGGAGCGCGCAGAGGACGAGAUUUCGGUCGAGUCGCACGCGCUUUAGUGGCGGACGGGUGAGUAACGCGUGGAUAACCUGCCUUACACAGGGGGAUAACGCUUAGAAAUAGGCGCUAAUACCGCAUAAGCGCACAGCCUCGCAUGAGGGAGUGUGAAAAGCCUCGGCGGUGUAAGAUGGAUCCGCGUCUGAUUAGCCAGUUGGCGGGGUGACGGCCCACCAAAGCGACGAUCAGUAGCCGGCCUGAGAGGGUGGACGGCCACAUUGGGACUGAGACACGGCCCAGACUCCUACGGGAGGCAGCAGUGGGGGAUAUUGCACAAUGGGGGGAACCCUGAUGCAGCGACGCCGCGUGAGUGAAGAAGCGCCUCGGCGCGUAAAGCUCUGUCAGCAGGGAAGAAGAUGACGGUACCUGACCAAGAAGCCCCGGCUAACUACGUGCCAGCAGCCGCGGUAAUACGUAGGGGGCAAGCGUUAUCCGGAUUUACUGGGUGUAAAGGGGGCGCAGACGGCGCGGCAAGUCCGGAGUGAAAUCCCAGGGCCCAACCCUGGGGCUGCUCUGGAAACUGCCGGGCUGGAGUGCUGGAGGGGCAGGCGGAAUUCCUAGUGUAGCGGUGAAAUGCGUAGAUAUUAGGAGGAACACCGGUGGCGAAGGCGGCCUGCUGGACAGCGACUGACGUUGAGGCCCGAAAGCGUGGGGAGCAAACAGGAUUAGAUACCCUAGUAGUCCACGCCGUAAACGAUGA